Molecule: small nuclear RNA, 23 nt
Filed under: Arabidopsis thaliana (thale cress)
Lineage: Eukaryota; Viridiplantae; Streptophyta; Magnoliopsida; Brassicales; Brassicaceae
Description: snRNA_13110
Source: RNAcentral
AUCCAAAGUUUCUAGCUUUGCCG